GUUCCUGCAAGACUCAGAGCACUCUUUGCACCUUCUUCAUCUGUAAACUCAAUAAAGGCGAAUCGAAGUACAGAAUUGGUGUCACCACAUAUACGACAGUCAACAACCUGUCCGCAAUCAAGAAAAAGUGAUGCGAGCUGCUCUUCAGUCACCUGAUGAUCAAUGUCGGAUACAUAAACCGUCCUCCUUAUAACAUCUUCCCUUUGGGCCAUGCCUGUUCGGGUAUUCAUCCUUCUCCUUCCAUGACCGUAGCCAUUUUUCUUCCUUCUGUUGGAAUUUCCAUUGGCCUCAGUCUGCAUUAGAAAAUUGUUAGCAUCAAAGCCAAAAUACACUGCGCCGGGUGUAUAUGGCACUAGCAUGUUGUUGUUAGCCAUUGAAAGAGGCACAAACUCUUCAGCCAUGG
RNAcentral lists this unclassified non-coding RNA (403 nucleotides) under Hevea brasiliensis (rubber tree). Lineage: Eukaryota; Viridiplantae; Streptophyta; Magnoliopsida; Malpighiales; Euphorbiaceae. The record is from RNAcentral.